Ipomoea nil (Japanese morning glory) is the source of this 794-nucleotide long non-coding RNA. RefSeq lists it as uncharacterized. The transcript is spliced from 2 exons. The record is from RefSeq and is a predicted model, not a curated record. NCBI's taxonomy places the organism in Eukaryota, Viridiplantae, Streptophyta, Magnoliopsida, Solanales, Convolvulaceae.
AUCAAGACCUUGCAAGUAAUGGCUGUAUCGAUGGGGACGGUUUUGAAUUGCCAAUAAGUUUGUGCAAUGUUCCUCUACUCUUUAACACCAUUCUUCAUUGCCAUUCAAUUCCUCCCUUUCAUAUCUCCGACCAUGGCUCUCAUCAGUAAGACAACCUGCGCACUCUUUCUCCUCCUCUUCCUCUUCCUCGUCGGGCCUUGUUUCUCCGACCACGGAUCAGGUAGUAGUCCGGUGGUUUAUGAUAUUGACUACCGUGGCCCGGAAACCCACACCACUGUCCCUCCUCCCAAGAGAUCAGGCGGCCGCCGCCGCCACCGCAACAUCAUUCAUCACCAACAAAGCAUGGUGGCGCGUCACAAACGUCGUUUCAAUUCUAGUCAUCAUGGACAUAAUGAGAAGAAAUAUGGCAAGUGAAUUGGACGGGCAUCAAUAUAUUGUCAUCAAGAAAAUGAUAGGGUUUGGAUGAAGAAGUUGAUCUGAGUGGCUAUGUGCUUAGAGAGAAGAGUUUGCAGAAGCCAACUAAUACAAUUAAGGUUAAUAUAUAUAUACCUUAAUUAGUGUAAUUAUAAAAAUCAUCAAAUGCUCUUUGUUGCUGUUGUACUGUUGUUAUGUUUUACUAGUGAAUUAUUUAUAAAUUUGCAAAAUUAAAUUUGCUUGGAAUAGAAGAGAAUGGAUCAUAUAUUCACAUCCAUUAAUUAUUUGGUUUGUGAUCAUCUUUAGAAGAGAAUAUGAUCAUUCUUACUUAUAGAUUUAUGGUUACAAGCUUACAAUUAAUCAUUAUAUUUAUCUACAAA